RNAcentral lists this ribosomal RNA (443 nucleotides) under uncultured bacterium. Its description in RNAcentral is "partial 16S ribosomal RNA". It matches the Rfam family "Bacterial small subunit ribosomal RNA", at positions 338 to 795 of the family's 1533-position model. The record is from RNAcentral.
CCUACGGGUGGCAGCAGUGGGGAAUAUGGGGCAAUGGGCGCAAGCCUGACCCAGCAACGCCGCGUGAAGGAAGAAGGCUUUCGGGUUGUAAACUUCUUUUCUCAGGGACGAAGAAAGUGACGGUACCUGAGGAAGAAGCAACGGCUAACUACGUGACAGCAGCCGCGGUAAUACGGAGGUGGCAAGCGUUAUCCGGAUUUACUGGGUGUAAAGGGCGUGUAGGCGGGAAAGCAAGUCAGCUGUGAAAACCAUGGGCUCAACCUGUGGCCUGCAUUUGAAACUGUUUUUCUUGAGUACUGGAGAGGCAGACGGAAUUCCUAGUGUAGCGGUGAAAUGCGUAGAUAUUAGGAGGAACACCAGUGGCGAAGGCGGUCUGCUGGACAGCAACUGACGCUGAGGCGCGAAAGCGUGGGGAGCAAACAGGAUUAGAUACCCUUGUAGUC